Armigeres subalbatus is the source of this 1262-nucleotide long non-coding RNA. RefSeq lists it as uncharacterized. The transcript has 4 exons. The record is from RefSeq and is a predicted model, not a curated record. NCBI's taxonomy places the organism in Eukaryota, Metazoa, Arthropoda, Insecta, Diptera, Culicidae.
CCGCAUGAUCUUGCAUCGCCAUUUUAUUUAUAAUAAUUCGUUUCCACCGGUGAACGUGAAAUUAAAUUAUUUAUAUGUGCAUUGCCGUCUAAUUAAGUAAUAAACAAAGGAAAUAAUAAAACACCCCAGGAAGUAUGAAAUAAAAGAACUAUAGGAUUGACCGAUGUGGACCUGGCUCUAAUGGCAGAUAUGCUUGCGAGGCGGCGCAAGAUAGAAGCAAUCUGUCGAAUUUGCAAUACGGCAUUGUAUAGAAUUGCCGAGCUGCGGAGUCAUCUUCGAACCCAUGCGGAUCCGAAAUCUUUUGCCGACGUUAACGUACGUCCACACCAAACCGUAUUUGUUGAGCACUUUUAUUAGAACUAUCUGGAUUAUCUGGUCCAACAUGUUUGCAAGUUGGACGUUUGCCGCUUCCAUCAAAUAGUAGAUCCAGAUGGAAAAGAACUGAGUGACUCCGAUUCAGAGAUGGAGAAUGAGGAGGAACCUUUUGAAGGGAUCGUUCGCAGAGAACAUAUGUGGACUGUGUAGUCAAAAUUUUUGCCGGAGAAAAAAAAUCAUGCAUCACGCUUAAGAUCAUCAGAAAUCGAAAGAACUGUUUGCCUAUCGACAAUACUCACGAGGGCUUCCGAGCACAGCUUGUAUUACGCCAGAAGAAAUACUUGUGCACUUCCUGUAUCUGGAGGAUAAUGUCAUCGAGAAGCAGGAGAAGCAGAAUCAAUUGCGUGGGCAUUGUAGCCGCGUAUUUUCCAACUCGAACAAUCUGAUAAUUCAUCUGCAGCGACAUACCGACGAGUAGCCGAACAAAUGUUACAUUUGCAAUAAGGGUAUUUCUCAUUAAGCGCUUUCUAGAGCUGCCAAGCCAUUAUGCAAGAGUUUUCAGCGAUGUGAAUUUCUAUUCACAGACUUUCCCACGUUCUUUGGAUUCGCCGUAUCACCGUCGAACACACCAGCAUGAUUGUACACUAUCUACGGAAAAGAAUUCUUUGAUCGAACAAGCUUGUCCACCACAUGCAAUUACACCGGAAUUAGACCACAUGCAUGCACCCUCGCAUGCACCUACUGUGACCGUUCAUUCAUCCAGUCGAAUUCCAGCUUCGCAUUUACAAUAGACGUCCUUCGCAGCAAGACCGAGAAUGGAACCUUUGGGCUAAAUGCCUGAUUUAUCCAGGCUCGAUUCCAGGGCUUCCAUCGGUCGAUGCUCAAUGCAGCUGGUUCCAUUUGCUGUCGCACUCGUCGAUCUCUGUGUGUUUACACAGAAAACAGAG